CAACAAGUAAGUCGAAGCUCGUUUUGUCAGAUUGCACCUGUGGAUCACACCACCUUUGUCAGCCACAAGUUAAACAAAUGGUUGCACCCGACGUCACGCCUGGUUGCCGACGCUUUGGAUGGAUUGAUGGAUGCUACAACGCAAGUAAAGAUGUGGACUAUGAGGCAGCUUGCUGCGAGGCUUUCGCGGCUCGCUGCGAAGAAUGUGUUCCCGUGGUGCAAGCGAACCAGACUGGACAUCGGAUAAAGG
This is a long non-coding RNA of Nerophis lumbriciformis (worm pipefish), 249 nucleotides long. RefSeq lists it as uncharacterized. The record is from RefSeq and is a predicted model, not a curated record. NCBI's taxonomy places the organism in Eukaryota, Metazoa, Chordata, Actinopteri, Syngnathiformes, Syngnathidae.